CUACAAUUAUAAAUACAGUGCUUUCUUGAGUUUUAUGAGUCAUUUAACAACUUAAUGAAUCUGAGAGGAAGUGGGAAUGCGUGGAUUUGUAGCCAGUUCGUCAGAAGCGAGGAUGGCCUGGGGACUCCUAACUUUGUGGCUGGUGUCUGAAGUGAAGGCUGUUUUAAAGAGGACUGUGCCCUUCACCUGUGAAGUCCGGCCUAACUACAGCAUAAAGAAUUCUUGCAAACAACAAAGGAGACUCAGCUGAAACUUUUGGCCUCAUAUCAGAGAGUUCAUGUGUGUCUUUAGACAAACAGAUAAACAAAUGGAAUCUGGGAGAGGAAGCAUUAAUUUGACUUCUGAUAUAAGUCUUUUGAGGUACAGCCUGGCACAAAAAGGAUGAGAUUUGUGGUCAGAAUUUUGGAAGAAUAUCUCCCAAGAGAACAUUCA
Non-coding RNA from Macaca mulatta (Rhesus monkey), 432 nucleotides. Lineage: Eukaryota; Metazoa; Chordata; Mammalia; Primates; Cercopithecidae. The record is from RefSeq and is a predicted model, not a curated record.